GCCAGUUUGGCCGAGUGGUUUAAGGCGGUGGUUUUAAGUCUAUCAUCAACUUGAGUUGUGACCUUUGAACACCAUUAUCGAAAGAUGCGCAGGUUCGAACCCUGCAGCUGGCA
Molecule: non-coding RNA, 113 nt
Organism: Hypoxylon fuscum
Lineage: Eukaryota; Fungi; Ascomycota; Sordariomycetes; Xylariales; Hypoxylaceae
Source: the annotation of a GenBank genome assembly